GCUAUAAUGCAGUCGAGCGGACAGAUGGGAGCUUGCUCCCUGAUGUCAGCGGCGGACGGGUGAGUAACACGUGGGUAACCUGCCUGUAAGACUGGGAUAACUCCGGGAAACCGGGGCUAAUACCGGAUGCUUGAUUGAACCGCAUGGUUCAAUUAUAAAAGGUGGCUUUUAGCUACCACUUACAGAUGGACCCGCGGCGCAUUAGCUAGUUGGUGAGGUAACGGCUCACCAAGGCAACGAUGCGUAGCCGACCUGAGAGGGUGAUCGGCCACACUGGGACUGAGACACGGCCCAGACUCCUACGGGAGGCAGCAGUAGGGAAUCUUCCGCAAUGGACGAAAGUCUGACGGAGCAACGCCGCGUGAGUGAUGAAGGUUUUCGGAUCGUAAAACUCUGUUGUUAGGGAAGAACAAGUACCGUUCGAAUAGGGCGGUACCUUGACGGUACCUAACCCAGAAAAGUCACGGCUAACUACGUGCCAGCAGCCGCGGUAAUACGUAGG
RNAcentral lists this ribosomal RNA (502 nucleotides) under Bacillus licheniformis. Its description in RNAcentral is "bacterial SSU rRNA". It matches the Rfam family "Bacterial small subunit ribosomal RNA", at positions 46 to 531 of the family's 1533-position model. Lineage: Bacteria; Bacillati; Bacillota; Bacilli; Caryophanales; Bacillaceae. The record is from RNAcentral.